CAAAAUAUAGCUUAAAUAAAGCAUCUCGCUUACACCGAGAAAAUAUCUGUUAGAUUCAGAUUAUUUUGA
This 69-nucleotide transfer RNA is filed under the name Smilisca puma (Nicaragua cross-banded treefrog). RNAcentral describes it as "tRNA-Val". It matches the Rfam family "tRNA". Rfam says of the family: Transfer RNA (tRNA) molecules are approximately 80 nucleotides in length. Lineage: Eukaryota; Metazoa; Chordata; Amphibia; Anura; Hylidae. The record is from RNAcentral.